CCAAUAGCGUAUAUUAAAGUUGUUGUGGUUAAAAAGCUCGUAGUUGAACCUUGGGCCUGGCUGGCCGGUCCGCCUCACCGCGUGUACUGGUCCGGCCGGGCCUUUCCCUCUGUGGAACCCCAUGCCCUUCACUGGGUGUGGCGGGGAAACAGGACUUUUACUGUGAAAAAAUUAGAGUGCUCCAGGCAGGCCUAUGCUCGAAUACAUUAGCAUGGAAUAAUAGAAUAGGACGUGUGGUUCUAUUUUGUUGGUUUCUAGGACCGCCGUAAUGAUUAAUAGGGACAGUCGGGGGCAUCAGUAUUCAAUUGUCAGAGGUGAAAUGCUUGGAUUUAUUGAAGACUAACUACUGCGAAAGCAUUUGCCAAGGAUGUUUUCAUUAAUCAGGAACGAAAGUUAGGGGAUCGAAGACGAUCAGAUACCGUCGUAGUCUUAACCAUAAACUAUGCCGACUAGGGAUCGGACGGUGUUAUUUUUUGACCCGUUCGGCACCUUACG
RNAcentral lists this unclassified non-coding RNA (495 nucleotides) under uncultured Glomeromycotina. RNAcentral's name for it is "SSU rRNA". It matches the Rfam family "Eukaryotic small subunit ribosomal RNA", at positions 591 to 1092 of the family's 1831-position model. Lineage: Eukaryota; Fungi; Glomeromycota. The record is from RNAcentral.